GGUUGAUCCUGCCAGUAGUCAUAUGCUUGUCUCAAAGAUUAAGCCAUGCAUGUCUAAGUAUAAGCUUUUAUACGGUGAAACUGCGAAUGGCUCAUUAAAUCAGUUAUAGUUUAUUUGAUAGUACCUUACUACAUGGAUAACCGUGGUAAUUCUAGAGCUAAUACAUGCGAACAAUCCCGACUUUUCGGAAGGGAUGUAUUUAUUAGAUACAAAACCAAUCGGGUUCGCCCGUUCCUUGGUGAUUCAUAAUAACUGCUCGAAUCGUAUGGCUUUACGCCGACGAUGGUUCAUU
This 292-nucleotide ribosomal RNA is filed under the name uncultured eukaryote. Its description in RNAcentral is "partial 18S ribosomal RNA". It matches the Rfam family "Eukaryotic small subunit ribosomal RNA", at positions 6 to 299 of the family's 1831-position model. The record is from RNAcentral.